Juglans microcarpa x Juglans regia is the source of this 772-nucleotide long non-coding RNA. RefSeq lists it as uncharacterized. The record is from RefSeq and is a predicted model, not a curated record. NCBI's taxonomy places the organism in Eukaryota, Viridiplantae, Streptophyta, Magnoliopsida, Fagales, Juglandaceae. The transcript is spliced from 4 exons.
AAUAUCAAAGACAACACAAUUUCUUUGUUGCUUAACCACAUCUGGAAAUUAAUGCCACCAUAAAUGUUUCAUCUCAAUUCAUUGUUGCUAGAUGAAUUAAUGUUUUUUUGUUGCUUCUAUUUUUUGUAUCUUCUACAAUACUUUGUUGUUUAAAGCUCCAUGAACGGCAUCCAUAGGGCUGAUAACUCUAGCUAGAUGAAUAGCUACAUUUCUUCUAUACCAUUCACACUUUUUUAAUUUAUAGUAAUAAUGAUUAAGUUAUAUUUUAACUUUGACUUAUUUACUUAUUUCUUACUAUUGCAUAAAACUUGAAAAAGUAAGGCAGGAAUCCAAAUCCAAAGAUGAAUAUUUGAGGAAGUUAGAAGAGAACUUAUAGAACCUUGAGAGCAAGGCAAAAGGCAGAGAUUAGAGUCAUAAAAAUCUACAUGAGAAGAUCAAAAAACUUGAAGGUAGCCAUCCACAACCAAUAUGAGAAGCAACUUUAGAAAUUAUCUGAGAGAUUGAAGGGAAAGGAAGAAGUCAAAGAGUUGGAGACCAAGCUUUUGCUUUUACAGCACUCAGAAUCUGCAUAUUUUCAACAAAAGGAGCAAAAGGCAAUGCUGGAGAAUGAGGCCCUGCGCAAUCAGCUUGAGCAAAAACGAAGAAGCAUCUCCAAGUCAGUUUCCCUUGAAUUUGAGCCUAAAAAGAGGAGGUUUUCCCAAACAUGUUCAAAAUUGUUUCUACCUCAUCUAAGGAAAAUGAGCAUUCAGACACUUGUUUGCAAUUGGGGUAC